RNAcentral lists this long non-coding RNA (2836 nucleotides) under Olea europaea subsp. europaea. Lineage: Eukaryota; Viridiplantae; Streptophyta; Magnoliopsida; Lamiales; Oleaceae. The record is from RNAcentral.
CACACAAAGUUGAGGCAAUUUACCGGGCAAAGCUACAUGGAACAGUAGUUUCGACAGUUUCACUAAAGUACUGGAGCUGCUGGAUGAUCAGCACACUGAUAUCUUAUGUUAGUCUUUCCUCUGGCCCCUGUAUUAGUUGAGGGAGUUGCAGUACUCGGGACAAAUUAUCGACGCACUAAUAUGUCGAUUGUUGAGUCCAAUGCACGGCGAUGCCCUUCACUUCGACCUUGGGGACAAGAUCACCAGUUUCUCUAUGUUCGAGCACUGGACUGAAGAUUACGGGCGACGAGAUAGCUCGUGACAGUACUUAGAGAUUCAACAAGUAUAUGACACUUACUUUCAUGGACAGCGGGCAAUACUUGUAUAUCAGCUGUGUCACCAUAAAAAGAUUGUGAUCGACCUUUUCCACCUGGAGAUCGUCGACGACAUCGAUCGCUUCAAUAACUAUCCAUGGGAUUGGAGAUAUUUUGAGGACACCGUACACCUCUUCAUCAGAUCGCACUCAAAGCCCUUGCGGUGUACGUACCUGUUUACAUAAUCAUUAGCAAAAAAUUUGGGCGUACGAGAUUGUCUCCACACUCGGUGCUCGCUUUGCAAAGCACAGUGACACGAUGCCCUCGGAUGCAUCAUUGGCGAGCAUCUCGAGCGGACGGGUGUCCGACUACAAAACAGUUAUCGGCUCUCCUCGACAAUCCUCAUGUGAGUAUUAUGCACUUUGUAACUUAUAUUAUGAGCUAAUUUAAAAUCUCAGCACGCAAUCAUUAACAGAGUUGAAAACAUGUCAGGUUGAGGUCAUAACUAAGUUGACGCCAUCGAUAGAGGAGGAGGGUCGAGGACUGGUACGGGAGGAGCGUGAAUUUUAUAUAAUUUAUUGAUUAACAUUUUUUAUAAUUAAGUUAAUAAUCUAUAAUGCUAUUUGUGUAGGAGCACGGUCCAGUUGAUAGACGAUUACGUCCGUCGAGAGCAUCACCAUCGUUGAUGGCAUCACCUCCACUGAGGGCAUCACCGCCGCCAAUGUCAUCACCUCCGUCGAUGUGGAGCGACAGUUGAUGGAGAGGGUAGACAAUUUGGAGCGAUGGUUGAUGGGGAGGGUCGACGACUUGUCCUAGAAUAUUACACUGCUACGUGGCCACGUCGUAUCCCUCUAGGAUGAGGUCACAGCGCUCCGAGGUGAUAUUGCGGGUAGGCGAUGGACUGACAGAAAGGGUGAUGGAGAGGGUGGCGAAGAGGGAGGUCACCCACAUUUUUGGACAGACGGUGCAUUAAAAUCAUUUCUAUUAUCUCUGGAACGAGAUUGGGUAUCCCCGAUGGAGACGAGAGUAACAACGGUGGAGGAGAGGGUGACGAAAGCAGUGGGCUCGAUGGGGACUGGAGAGCCAGCCGGGGAGGAAGAGAGGGUGACGAAGGCGGGAGAGCCAACCGGGGAGGAGGAGAAGGUGAUAGGGAGGGAAGAGCCGAUCAGGGAGAAGGAGAGGGUGACGGAGGCGAUGGGCUCAAUGGGACAGGAGAGCCAGGAAAGGAAGAGGAGGUGAUGGAGGAGACGAUCCCCGGGGAUAAGAAGUGUGUUGUUGACUUCACGGUGCAGGCGAUCGGGAAGAGGCCGAGAUUGCCGUAGCAGUACAUGGUUUCUCCCUUCAUGGUCGAGAUGAAGAGGAUGAGGUUCAUCGAUGGGACGAUUCCGAACCUAGUUCGGGAGGUGGACCAUGCCAAAUGGAAAACGUUCCAGACGGAGUGGAGAGGGAUUUUGUCUGGGUAAGUAUUCAUGAUAUUAGUAAAGUAUGUUGCGUUAUUCGUAUCGCUUAUUUAACAUUUUUAUUUUUCUUUUGUCAGGACCAGCCGCACGACUGGUCAAACGACCAUCUCCGAUGCUUAUAAGUGGUUCCACGACAUCAUCACUCCAGGAGCUUGGCUUGCCGACGAUGUAAGUGAAGUAGUCAUAUUGUUAUUUUUUGUGUAUAUAAUUUUUUAUUUAUGCAAUGAAAUAACUCCUUUUUAUAUUGGUGUUUCUUAAUGCAGCACAUCGACCUAGCCAUGGACUUUUUGCGUGAUCGGGUUCAAAGAUAUCUGAGGUCAUUUGACAGUCUUGGUUGAGUCAUACUGAAUUUGGAGUUCAGCUGAAGCAUUGACAUUGAGUACUAGUCGCUACAAUGUGCUGGUAUGAAGUACGUGGUGCCUGAUUAUAUGCUCGAGUGGACCAUAGGGAUGUGGCCACAUGUUGGGAGGAAGCCAUGGGAGGGUUGUACGCAUAUGUACAUACCAGUGAUCUUGAAUUCGCACUGCAUAGCUUUGGAGAUUGUGCUGGCCAAGUCUACUGUAUAUGUGUAUGACCCCGAUCAUUUAUGUCUGACACAGAGUCAGUUCGAGCAAAAUCUGGAGUCCAUCGCUAUUUUAGUCCCAUGAUGGUUAGAUGCCCCGGGCUUGACUCUGAACGACAGAUUAGCCAUCAUGCCCAGGCUAGGCAGACAAUAUCGUAAGUGGUUCUACAUUUUUUUAAAUUUAAUACUUAAUUUUUUCUAUAUGAUAAAGAUCUAACUUAUUAUUGUUCAAUUGCAGGGGUGAUUGCGGCAAGUUUGCAAUAAAAUAUAUUGAGUUUUUGAGUACCUAGGUUGAUGGAAUCAACUAAUCCUGAAUGCAAAUUUGGAGAAAUAAGUUAGCAUGCGAUUUGCACGACUUUAGUUGUGAUCUGUAAAUGCUGUAAAAAUUUGAUUUUUUUAAUUACGAAAUGUUUGUAAACACUUUGUAUAUUGAUUUGUACCUUGUGGAUGAAUGUAAUUGUAUAUUAUUUUCUAUAUUUGCUUCAUCUAUGAUAUUAAUAAUCUAUGAAUUGUAUUACACA